This 492-nucleotide ribosomal RNA is filed under the name uncultured bacterium. RNAcentral's name for it is "bacterial SSU rRNA". It matches the Rfam family "Bacterial small subunit ribosomal RNA", at positions 29 to 522 of the family's 1533-position model. The record is from RNAcentral.
AGCGAACGUUUGCGGCGGGCCUAACACAUGCAAGUCGAACGCACUAGCAAUAGUGAGUGGCGCACGGGUGCGUAACACGUGGGUAAUCAACCCUUCAGCUUGGGAUAACGACUUGAAAGGGUCGCUAAUACCGGAUACGGCGCGGGAGGCUUCGGCUUCUCACGAGAAAGCCUCGCAAGGGGCACUGAAGGACGAGCCUGCGGCCCAUCAGCUAGUUGGUGAGGUAAGAGCUCACCAAGGCGAAGACGGGUAGCUGGUCUGAGAGGAUGAUCAGCCACACUGGAACUGAGACACGGUCCAGACUCCUACGGGAGGCAGCAGUGGGGAAUAUUGCGCAAUGGGCGAAAGCCUGACGCAGCCACGCCGCGUGAGCGAUGAAGGCCUUCGGGUCGUAAAGCUCUGUGGGGAGAGACGAAGAAAGCCCGUGAAGAGCGGGCCUUGACGGUAUCUCCUUAGCAAGCACCGGCUAACUCCGUGCCAGCAGCCGCGGUA